RNAcentral lists this ribosomal RNA (305 nucleotides) under uncultured fungus. RNAcentral describes it as "SSU rRNA". It matches the Rfam family "Eukaryotic small subunit ribosomal RNA", at positions 61 to 370 of the family's 1831-position model. The record is from RNAcentral. Lineage: Eukaryota; Fungi.
UAGUAUAGCACUUUAUACUGUGAAACUGCGAAUGGCUCAUUAAAUCAGUUAUCGUUUAUUUGAUAGUACCUUACUACAUGGAUACCUGUGGUAAUUCUAGAGCUAAUACAUGCUAAAAACCUCGACUUCGGAAGGGGUGUAUUUAUUAGAUAAAAAACCAACGCCCUUCGGGGCUCCUUGGUGAAUCAUAAUAACUAAGCGAAUCGCAUGGCCUUGCGCCGGCGAUGGUUCAUUCAAAUUUCUGCCCUAUCAACUUUCGAUGGUAGGAUAGUGGCCUACCAUGGUGGCAACGGGUAACGGGGAAU